RNAcentral lists this transfer RNA (64 nucleotides) under Fukomys damarensis (Damara mole-rat). It matches the Rfam family "tRNA". From Rfam's summary of the family: Transfer RNA (tRNA) molecules are approximately 80 nucleotides in length. Their secondary structure includes four short double-helical elements and three loops (D, anti-codon, and T loops). Further hydrogen bonds mediate the characteristic L-shaped molecular structure. tRNAs have two regions of fundamental functional importance: the anti-codon, which is responsible for specific mRNA codon recognition, and the 3' end, to which the tRNAs corresponding amino acid is attached (by aminoacyl-tRNA synthetases). tRNAs cope with the degeneracy of the genetic code in two manners: having more than one tRNA (with a specific anti-codon) for a particular amino acid; and 'wobble' base-pairing, i.e. permitting non-standard base-pairing at the 3rd anti-codon position. The record is from Rfam by way of RNAcentral. Lineage: Eukaryota; Metazoa; Chordata; Mammalia; Rodentia; Bathyergidae.
GGGGAUGUAGCUCAGUGGUAGAGUGCUUGCUUCCCGUGAGCAAAGCAUGUGGCUUUCAUCCCCA